This 254-nucleotide ribosomal RNA is filed under the name uncultured bacterium. RNAcentral's name for it is "partial 16S ribosomal RNA". It matches the Rfam family "Bacterial small subunit ribosomal RNA", at positions 524 to 776 of the family's 1533-position model. The record is from RNAcentral.
UACGGGGGGAGCAAGCGUUGUUCGGAUUACUGGCGUAAAGGGCGCGUAGGCGGCCACCGCAAGUCGACUGUGAAAUCUCGUGGGCUUAACCCAGAAAGGUCAGCCGAUACUCUGCGGGCUGAGAGUGAGAAGGGGACGACUGGAAUUCUCGGUGUAGCGGUGAAAUGCGUAGAUAUCGAGAGGAACACCUGCGGCGACGGCGGGUUGCUGGGCAACAACUGACGCUGAGGAGCGAAAGCGUGGGAGCGAACAGG